This 353-nucleotide long non-coding RNA is filed under the name Hordeum vulgare. RNAcentral describes it as "long non-coding RNA (HVUL_LNC010182)". Lineage: Eukaryota; Viridiplantae; Streptophyta; Magnoliopsida; Poales; Poaceae. The record is from RNAcentral.
CUUCAUAGUUUUAUUUUUCAAGGAGGGGCAGCACGACGGUCGGAGCAGGGGGUGAGGCGACCGCUACAUAGCUAACAAGAUCAAGCUUCGAAUUGUGACUGUACAAUGCAAAAUGACUGGAUACAGUUGUGCAAAACGACAUCCUAAUUCUAAAAUUUGUAGCAUUGCUUUUCCUUCUAGCAACUAAAAUCAACCAUGCGUAUUUAUUCGACCAUGACAAACUUUCAGUCCUAAACAUUUUUUUCUCGAAUACGCAUGAGUGUGCGUAUCAUUCAUUAAAGGAAGGAGGGAAAAAGAGCCCAGGAUCCACAGUUUUACAAAAUAUUUACAUGCGGGGCUAGGCCCGCCCAGCG